This 4576-nucleotide long non-coding RNA is filed under the name Homo sapiens (human). RNAcentral's name for it is "HSALNT0186670". The record is from RNAcentral. Lineage: Eukaryota; Metazoa; Chordata; Mammalia; Primates; Hominidae.
CUUCUUGCCAACUCUGGUUUCCUCCUCACCCUGUCUGGGGUCUGGGGAGAUUUUCACCCCAGAGGCAUGGGAGAUGGCCAGAGAUGACUUCCUUUUCUUCUGCCCACUGAGGAACUCCAAAUGGCCAAGCACCUGGUUCCUUGGGCUGGAUGACUUCUCUGUCCGUCUGGCACGCAGCGUGGUCUCAGGUUCUACGUGCCCCUCGCAAAGGGUGCUGACACCCUUCUCUUUCUUCUUUUUCUUCACUAGAGGCAUCUCAGGUGCCUGCCCGUGGACCACACUCUUAGAGGGGGCUGUGGCUUUUAUAGGAGAAACAUGGGCAAAGUAAUCAUCAUUGUUUAAAAUUGAGUAUUGAGUCCCUGGUUCUUUGACCACUUUCUUCUUCUUUUUCUUCUCUGGGAUCCCAGGGCCCAGGUCUACUUUCCGGUGGGCCAAACUUCCCCGCCUCCACGUGAGAGCCGGCUCCGCCGUGACCCGGAAGUCCACUUUCGGGUUGCACGCGUGGCUUCUCUUACACACAAAUUUUCUUCCACUUCUGCCACUCCUGAGACAGCAAGACUGAUACCUUAUUUUCCUCCUCCUCCUUGGCCUACUCAACAUGAAGAUGAUGAGGAUGACGACCUUUACGAUGAUCCACUUCCAUCUAAUGAUUGAGGCAGUGUCUCACUCUGUUGUCCAGGCUGGAGUGCAGCGAUAUGGUCAUAGCUCACUGCAGCCUCGAACUCCUGGGCUCAAGGGAUCCUGCCACCUCAGCUAAGGCCUGCAGUAGCUAAGACUAUAAUCCCUUAAAUAUUUUAGAAGAGAAGGAGCAAGAGAAGAAGAUCUCAAAAUACUUUUUCAACACUGGCUGGUUUUGAGAAGCUCACUUUCAAAAUUUGAUAUGGACAUUGCAUUUGACGAGACAGGUAAAUAAACCUGUCUCAUCGGGGACUCUUAUAAAAAAGUAUUUUAAGGUUCCUUUGAAGGGUAUCAGUGUUUGGGCCCAUAACUGCUAAACUUAAAAUUGACAUCGUAACGUUAUAUGUUACUCUCUUACUAACAGAGUAAGGGUUGACAAACUACCCUAAUUUAGAAAAAUAUAAAAAUGGAUAAUUCAUAACCAUUAAGAUGACAUAUUUGGUCUCUUGUAUCACCUAAAUUUCCCUCUAUCUCCUAUGUCACAGGAUUUUUUUUUUUUUUUUUUUUUUUUUUUUGAGACCGAGUCUCACACUAUUGCCAGGGCUGGAGUGCAAUGGUGUGAUCUCGGCUCACUGCAACAUCCGCCUCCCUGGUUCACGCGAUUCUCCUGCCUCAGCCUCCUGAGUAGCUGGGAUUUUAGGCGCCCGCCACCACACCUAACUAAUUUUCUGUAUUUUUAGUAGAGAUGGGAUUUCACUGUGUUGGCCAAACUGGUCUCGAACUCCUGACCUCGGGAUCCACCCGCCUCAGCCUCCCAAAGUGCUGGGAUUACAGCCAUGAGCGACCGCGCCCAGCCGUCACAGGAUUUCAUACUUAUUAAGAUCCCUCUUUCUUCUUUAGGAUUCCCAAGUAACUUGUCUCUGCUAUUUUUAAUGUAUAUGACCGAAUAAAUUCAAAAUGAGCCUUAUGAAAAUAGGCUAAGGUCAAACAUUGUAUACUCCUAAUAUCUCCUAGCAGUCCAUGAAUAUCUCCAAAUACGUUGGAGGGAUUGAGAUGGACUCAAAACUUAUUAGAGAAUCUUGAAUACUGUGGGCAGUGUAAAGCCCUCUCCUAUCAAUAAUAUUUCUUGUUGCCUUGGGAGGCAACUAGAAUAUGAUGAUGGAAAUGAUACAGAGGUCAGUUAUAUGCUUUUAUUUCCCCCAUAUUUUGAGAGCUGCAUAUGGUAUAUAUCUGCCCAUAAAUUUAUGUAUGCAUAUUAUGUAUACAUCUGGGUGCAUAUAUUGAAAGGCAGUAUAGCGGAGUGGUUAGGGAAUGGGUCUGGAAGCCAGAUUACCUGGGUUUGAAGCCAGGCUCUUUCACCUGCUAUUCGUAUAACCUCGGGCAAGUUAGUUACAUAACCUCUCAGUGCUUCAGUUUCCUUAUCUGUAAAAUGAUACAAUAAAAUUAUGUACCUCAUGGAGUGGCUGUGAGGAUUAAAUACGUUUAUAUACAUAAAACACCUAGAACAAUGCCUGUAAAAUGAUAGGAAUUCAAAAAUUGUAGCUACUUAACAAUAUAUUGUAUGCAUUUUUAUAUACAUCAUAUGGAUACAUACAUAUGUAUAUAUAUAUAUAAUACAUAAUCGCCUUGCCUCCAAAAUAAGACAAUUUCAUACACAUAAAAUAUAUAUAAAUGUCAUAUAUAUACAUACACACGCACACACACACACGUACACUCCAUGUAUAGCACAUUUCGAUUUUCUUGGAAAUUUCAGUUAUCUAAUGACCAACACGAGUGUGGAUACCAACAUAGCUGAUGACUGGCAUGAACAUAGUAUACAUUUGAUAUUUUAUAUCUAUCUAUUUAAUGAAAUAAUACUUGCCACUGAAAACUGGCCCUAAUAUAACAUGUACAUGGCAUCAAGGUGAAGUGAAAAAGCUCAAGCAUGACACUGGACAAUGGAUUUGCAUCCUGGGUCAAUCACUUAAAAACUGCAUGGUCUUGGACAAGUCAUUUAACCUUUCUGAGCUUUAGUUUUCUCAUCUGAAGAACAGGGAUGUAAAAUUUCUUGCAAGUUUGUGGUGAGAAGGAGACACAAAAUACAUUUUUAAAAAAGCAUUUGGCCAACAUCCUGGUACAUAGCAAAUGCUUAAUAAAUGGAAACGCUGAUCUUUAAUGUGUCAGUCCCGCUACAAAUUAGGGUAUUUUUUUUUUAAGCCCAACACAAACAAACAUCCCACUGGAAGUUUUUGAUCAGCUAUGCUGUUGCUGUAUAAUGAUCAUGGUUUAGUCUUAAGGGCAUGUGGUUUCAAUAACUAUAUGUGGUUGGAAGUUAUGCUGCCUGUAGGAACGAAAGGAGGAAAGAGAUUGGUGUAAUUCAAGUUUCACCAGUAUCUCACUAGGCAGUUUUGGAACUUUGUGCCUUCUCUCCCUCUGGCUUCCCUUCUUCUGCCAGUAGGAAGCCUAGUGGCCCCAGAAACGGUUACACUCAAGAAGCAGUAGAGGCUGAAAAUCUGCGGAGGUGGCACUGCUUUGCUUGGUGGGGUUAGGCCAAGCAGGUAGGUUCGUAACCUACUGGUCAGGUGCCAGAAGACUUUUUCUUCCCUGGGUGUUGUCUGAGAGAAAGGGAUUACGACCCAGCAGAUGUUCACUGUAAAUGACAAUCCCUUUUCAAACGUUAAGUAUGUUCAUAUAAGUAGUAGCGAGAGGCAACUUGUUUUGUAGUUGGGCCCUGUUUGCUUCUUGCACAGUAUUUAAGGAACUGGGCCUGACAUAGUAAUAGCUAACUUUGUAAAGCAACUACAUAUGUACUAUGAGAAUAAACCAUUCAACAAACAACAACAACGACAACAACAACAACAACAAAAAGAGAAGAAACCAUUCAACAUACACUGGGAACUCUUAGAAUAAAAGUAACACUUAAAUUUAAGGUGGAGUACGAUCAUCAACGAAUUCUUAUGCCAUAUGUGCAAGUGGCUCUGAUGUGAAACUUGCAUGGUAGAGAAAAUGUAAGGAAAGGAAACAUAUAGGAAAUGUGUUUCAUGCACACACACACACAAUUUUUUCACACAGUUGAUGAAGCUACAUUGAACCAGCAAUUUGAAUAUUAUUAUUAUCCAUCUCUCUCAUUAAAUACUUAGGAACACAUAGUAAAAUUGCUUAAGGAUGGACAUUUAGAUUGCCAUAUCCAGAGUUAUAUCCAAGCAGCAAAUGAUUGCACUGCUUAUAAAUUCUAGGCAGAUGAUAAUUUAAAGUCCCCACGAAAGCCCUGAGCUUAUUUGAUUGUUCUCUUAAUUACUGGGCUCUAUGCUAUCAAAUAUUUGUGUAAGAGGAAGCUUUUCUUUGUGGGAGUGGAUAAUAGCUGUGCUUACACUUUGAAAUUUUUGCCUUGAGUUAUUAAGAUUUACAUUUCUCACUUUUGUUCCAGGGAAAGGUGUUUAGCCGUUUUUAGAAAACAGGUACCACAUAAUCAAUCAUCAAACACCCGGGAAAGUUUCCGCCCUUGACAAGUGUAAAAUCUCAGGUAUUAGCAACCCACCUCCAGAAACAAAUCUACCAAGGGUGGAAAGGGGUAGAAAGGAUGUCUCACUUUCCUAGGUGAAUAUAUUGUGAUUGGUAUGUGUGGCAUGCAUUGAGAAAUUACAUUUGCUUACUAACUGCCGUUUAGAAAUCAGCCCGAAAAAGUCUGGGAGAGAUCGCCCAGAGACAGCCAAGCCCCGAGCCUCGCUCCCAAGCUCCUCCGGAGUCCUGCUCUUCUAGGCGCGUGAAGAAUAAAUAGAGUCUGGUCAUUGAUCUCCUGAUGGUGUUGUUGCACUCUGGGUAAUGCUGGGGGUGCCCAGGGACGCGGCGCAGUCCAUGGUUGCGCGUCUGCAGAGAAUUACAGAGAUGGGGACAGAGAACACGCACCUCGGCAUAAAAGCAAAAGGAGAGAAGGCUACAGCGAGGAAAAGAAACGUGUUGCUCGAAUUGUUUCCUUAGU